This 497-nucleotide ribosomal RNA is filed under the name uncultured bacterium. Its description in RNAcentral is "partial 16S ribosomal RNA". It matches the Rfam family "Bacterial small subunit ribosomal RNA", at positions 28 to 507 of the family's 1533-position model. The record is from RNAcentral.
GACGAACGCUGGCGGCGUGCCUAAUACAUGCAAGUUGAGCGCUGAAGGUUGGUACUUGUACCAACUGGAUGAGCAGCGAACGGGUGAGUAACGCGUGGGGAAUCUGCCUUUGAGCGGGGGACAACAUUUGGAAACGAAUGCUAAUACCGCAUAAAAACUUUAAACACAAGUUUUAAGUUUGAAAGAUGCAAUUGCAUCACUCAAAGAUGAUCCCGCGUUGUAUUAGCUAGUUGGUGAGGUAAAGGCUCACCAAGGCGAUGAUACAUAGCCGACCUGAUAGGGUGAUCGGCCACAUUGGGACUGAGACACGGCCCAAACUCCUACGGGAGGCAGCAGUAGGGAAUCUUCGGCAAUGGACGAAAGUCUGACCGAGCAACGCCGCGUGAGUGAAGAAGGUUUUCGGAUCGUAAAACUCUGUUGGUAGAGAAGAACGUUGGUGAGAGUGGAAAGCUCAUCAAGUGACGGUAACUACCCAGAAAGGGACGGCUAACUACGUG